Non-coding RNA from Podarcis lilfordi (Lilford's wall lizard), 84 nucleotides. The record is from the annotation of a GenBank genome assembly. Lineage: Eukaryota; Metazoa; Chordata; Lepidosauria; Squamata; Lacertidae.
UUUUUCUUGCUUGUUUUCCAUGCUCUGUGCAUUAGUUGCCCCUCUACUAAUGUGUAGAGCAUGGGAAACAAGCAAGACGAAUGC